Molecule: ribosomal RNA, 1286 nt
Filed under: metagenome
Description: bacterial SSU rRNA
Rfam family: Bacterial small subunit ribosomal RNA
Source: RNAcentral
AGCUAGUUGGUGGGGUAAAAGCUCACCAAGGCGACGAUCUGUAGCGGGUCUGAGAGGAUGAUCCGCCACACUGGAACUGAGACACGGUCCAGACUCCUACGGGAGGCAGCAGUGGGGAAUUUUGGACAAUGGGGGCAACCCUGAUCCAGCCAUGCCGCGUGAGUGAAGAAGGCCUUCGGGUUGUAAAGCUCUUUCGGCCGGGAAGAAAUCGUAUCAGCUAAUACCUGGUGCGGAUGACGGUACCGGCAUAAGAAGCACCGGCUAACUACGUGCCAGCAGCCGCGGUAAUACGUAGGGUGCGAGCGUUAAUCGGAAUUACUGGGCGUAAAGCGUGCGCAGGCGGUUUUGUAAGACAGGCGUGAAAUCCCCGGGCUCAACCUGGGAACUGCGUUUGUGACUGCAAGGCUAGAGUACGGCAGAGGGGGGUGGAAUUCCACGUGUAGCAGUGAAAUGCGUAGAGAUGUGGAGGAACACCAAUGGCGAAGGCAGCCCCCUGGGUCGAUACUGACGCUCAUGCACGAAAGCGUGGGUAGCAAACAGGAUUAGAUACCCUGGUAGUCCACGCCCUAAACGAUGUCAACUAGGUGUUGGGAGGGUAAAACCUUUUAGUACCGGAGCUAACGCGUGAAGUUGACCGCCUGGGGAGUACGGCCGCAAGGUUAAAACUCAAAGGAAUUGACGGGGACCCGCACAAGCGGUGGAUGAUGUGGAUUAAUUCGAUGCAACGCGAAAAACCUUACCUACCCUUGACAUGUCAGGAACUUUCCAGAGAUGGAUUGGUGCUCGAAAGAGAACCUGAACACAGGUGCUGCAUGGCUGUCGUCAGCUCGUGUCGUGAGAUGUUGGGUUAAGUCCCGCAACGAGCGCAACCCUUGUCGUUAAUUGCCAUCAUUUAGUUGGGCACUUUAACGAGACUGCCGGUGACAAACCGGAGGAAGGUGGGGAUGACGUCAAGUCCUCAUGGCCCUUAUGGGUAGGGCUUCACACGUCAUACAAUGGUCGGUACAAAGGGUCGCCAAGCCGCGAGGUGGAGCUAAUCCCAGAAAGCCGAUCGUAGUCCGGAUUGCAGGCUGCAACUCGCCUGCAUGAAGUCGGAAUCGCUAGUAAUCGUGGAUCAGCAUGUCACGGUGAAUACGUUCCCGGGUCUUGUACACACCGCCCGUCACACCAUGGGAGCGGGUUCCGCCAGAAGUAGGUAGCCUAACCGCAAGGAGGGCGCUUACCACGGCGGGGUUCGUGACUGGGGUGAAGUCGGAACAAGGUAGCCGUAGGGGAACCUGCGGCUG